UAUGGCUAUAUCACGUUGAAACACCGGUUCAUGCAGGAUCUCCGAAGUUAAGCAACGUAGUGUCUGGUCAGUACCUAGAUGGGUGGCCGCUUGAGAAUACCAGGUGCUGCAAU
This is a non-coding RNA of Acanthosepion pharaonis, 113 nucleotides long. Lineage: Eukaryota; Metazoa; Mollusca; Cephalopoda; Sepiida; Sepiidae. The record is from the annotation of a GenBank genome assembly.